GACGAACGCUGGCAGCGUGCCUAAUACAUGCAAGUUGAGCGCUGAAGGUUGGUACUUGUACCGACUGGAUGAGCAGCGAACGGGUGAGUAACGCGUGGGGAAUCUGCCUUUGAGCGGGGGACAACAUUUGGAAACGAAUGCUAAUACCGCAUAAAAACUUUAAACACAAGUUUUAAGUUUGAAAGAUGCAAUUGCAUCACUCAAAGAUGAUCCCGCGUUGUAUUAGCUAGUUGGUGAGGUAAAGGCUCACCAAGGCGAUGAUACAUAGCCGACCUGAGAGGGGGAUCGGCCACAUUGGGACUGAGACACGGCCCAAACUCCUACGGGAGGCAGCAGUAGGGAAUCUUCGGCAAUGGACGAAAGUCUGACCGAGCAACGCCGCGUGAGUGAAGAAGGUUUUCGGAUCGUAAAACUCUGUUGGUAGAGAAGAACGUUGGUGAGAGUGGAAAGCUCAUCAAGUGACGGUAACUACCCAGAAAGGGACGGCUAACUACGUG
Molecule: ribosomal RNA, 497 nt
Filed under: uncultured bacterium
Lineage: Bacteria
Description: partial 16S ribosomal RNA
Rfam family: Bacterial small subunit ribosomal RNA
Source: RNAcentral